RNAcentral lists this microRNA precursor (174 nucleotides) under Leersia perrieri. RNAcentral describes it as "MIR812 microRNA precursor family". It matches the Rfam family "MIR812 microRNA precursor family", at positions 24 to 189 of the family's 205-position model. Lineage: Eukaryota; Viridiplantae; Streptophyta; Magnoliopsida; Poales; Poaceae. The record is from Rfam by way of RNAcentral.
UUUUAGAUUUGUGUCCAACUUUAACCCUCCGUUUUAUUUGAAAAAAAAAAUAUAAGUAAUAUUUUUAUUGUUAUUAGAUGGUAAUAUAUGAAUAGUACUUCAUGCAUGACUUUUUUUUUACUUAUUCAUAAAGAUUUUGAAUAAUACAAACAGUCAAAGUUGGACACAGAAAUC